GGAUGACUUCAAUGGUAUCUGCCUAUCGAAUGUUUUGCUUAAUGUAACUUCAAAACAUCCAUGGAAUUGUUCGGAUAUACAUGGGCACUCAAAUAUGGUAUCCCCAGAAAUAUGCAAACCCCUCAAGGAAAUUCCACAGAGCUCUUCUGAUUGUUAUCAACUCGGUCCAUUAGGCACUCAGACAUCAAGUGCAAAGCGUUUGGUUAG
This 207-nucleotide unclassified non-coding RNA is filed under the name Hevea brasiliensis (rubber tree). Lineage: Eukaryota; Viridiplantae; Streptophyta; Magnoliopsida; Malpighiales; Euphorbiaceae. The record is from RNAcentral.